AAAAAAAAAAAAAAAAGGGUUUGGCUUCCUUCCAAAAUAUAAGAUGCCAUCCAGUUACCGUCCAAACUGCCCAAGCCUGAGAGACAAACGUGACAACCAUAUGUAAAUCUAGAAAAUUCCUGCAUAUACUCUUGAGUAAAUAUACCCCCGUUAACAUGAGACUUUAUUUUACAUUAUGGGAUCCAUUUCAUGUUAGCAGUGGAUGUACACCUGGUAUAUAUAAACGAGGAAAGUCUUACUCUUCCUAAAUUGGGUGCUGCGUGAAACCACCUAAUUAUUGUUUAAUCUUAAUUUUAAGCAUUUGUAUAUAGGGAUUUUCUUACAAAGUUGUAAUAUAGAUUUAUGAGCAUAUGCGCUAUGAAUUAUGUUCCAUUUUUAAAUGCUCAUGCGCCUGUAUUCUUGUUAAUUGCAAAUAAAAUUCCUUUCUAAUCAAUGAUCUUUAGCUUAAUGGAGUUUGAAAUUUAAGUUUGAAUCAGAGUUAAUUAUACUAAAAAAAUUAAAUUAAAUAAA
This 510-nucleotide unclassified non-coding RNA is filed under the name Hevea brasiliensis (rubber tree). The record is from RNAcentral. Lineage: Eukaryota; Viridiplantae; Streptophyta; Magnoliopsida; Malpighiales; Euphorbiaceae.